UAUAAAACAACGUUGUGCUGACUGCAAGAAUGUUAUUGAUGAGCCUGCUCUAUGCCUUUUAUGUGGUAGAUUAUGCUCCCCGAGGUGGAAACCUUGCUGCAGGGAAAGUGGAUGCCAACCUCAUGCAAUGGCCUGUGGUUCUGGGAUAGGGGUAUUUUUGUUGAUCAAGAGAACUACUAUUCUGCUACAAAGAUGUGCACGUCAGGCUCCCUGGCCAUCUCCAUACUUGGAUGCAUAUGGUGAAGAGGAUAUUGAAAUGCAUAGAGGAAAGCCACUGUACCUGAAUGAGGAGCGUUAUGCUACUCUAACAUACAUGGUUGCUUCUCACGGCCUUGAUCAAAGUUCUAAAGUCCUCGGACAAACUACCAUUGGAUCUAUCUUCCCGGUCUAGUUUGGGAGACGUUCUUCAAGUGGAGAAUUUUUCCUCAGAUCUGUAUCGAAAAAUCUUCUGCACGUGCAAAAUUGGCCAUGCUUAUGAUUGAGCUGAAUGAGUUGACAAUCAUGGACUGAGGAGUUGUUUGUUAAGGUAUUUCGGGUUCUUUUCUCCAUGAGUUGGAAAGGCUAGGUAUCAUGGUUCUGUUGGUGUUCCGUGGUUGUACAGUUCUUAUUGCAGUGGAAUGUCCCCAUUUGCAAUCAGCAAUCAUGUUCAGUAGAUAAGCGAUAUCCUUCAUCCGUCUCACAUCUGCAUAUGGUGACCUGCAAAUUUGAACUGUACGGCUUCUAAAUCAAGUAAAAAGCCCCCAUUUUCCCUAAUGCUCUUUUCUGUCUUUCCUUGAUUUUGUUUUUGUUGUGAUCCUUCUGGGGGUGGGAUUUUCAGCUGCCCCAUGAAGGAACUGGUAGAUGACAAUUUCCUAUGCAUUUUGUAAAUGUUGUAUAUAGCUCAUCUUUGUUUUUCUAGCAGUUUUUUUUUUUUUUAAAUGAUAAUGCUGUUCCAAAUUUGAAUUGAUUUCCACCUAGAAAUUAAUAAUUCACUAAAAAAAA
RNAcentral lists this unclassified non-coding RNA (981 nucleotides) under Hevea brasiliensis (rubber tree). Lineage: Eukaryota; Viridiplantae; Streptophyta; Magnoliopsida; Malpighiales; Euphorbiaceae. The record is from RNAcentral.